RNAcentral lists this ribosomal RNA (253 nucleotides) under uncultured bacterium. Its description in RNAcentral is "partial 16S ribosomal RNA". It matches the Rfam family "Bacterial small subunit ribosomal RNA", at positions 524 to 776 of the family's 1533-position model. The record is from RNAcentral.
UACGAAGGGGGCUAGCGUUGUUCGGAAUUACUGGGCGUAAAGCGCGCGUAGGCGGAUAUGUAAGUCAGGGGUGAAAUCCCAGAGCUCAACUCUGGAACUGCCUUUGAUACUGGGUAUCUUGAGUAUGGAAGAGGUAAGUGGAAUUGCGAGUGUAGAGGUGAAAUUCGUAGAUAUUCGCAGGAACACCAGUGGCGAAGGCGGCUUACUGGUCCAUUACUGACGCUGAGGUGCGAAAGCGUGGGGAGCAAACAGG